CUCUUCGAGCCCGUGACCCAAGCGCGAGGCGGCAAGGGCCGGCGCAGGGGCGGGAGCACGCGGCUCUGGCUCGCGCGUCGAGCCCGGUGCUGAUGGACAGGCGAAGGAGCGGCUAAGACGCAGCUUGGUUAGAAGCAGCCCUCCGUGCCAAGUAUGACUCCGCGUUCUUGGGAGCAGCCUCCAAGGGCCGGGGAAUCUUGCCACCCCGAGGUCCAGCCCCCUCCCCUCAGGCAUGGGCGAGAUAUCCCCGAACUGGACUCCCAGGUUCCUGCUCGGCUGUCUACUGGAGGUUGGGAAAGGCAAACCUGAACACCACCUCUGCUUGAGGCCGCCCUUGCCUUCGUGAGCAGAGGCGCCAGGCUCCGCUUAAAACCCUUGCGGACCUCCUGCUUCACCACUGCAGCCACGUCUCCGGAGGAGACCACCAAAGGCUCGGGCGCUCUCAGCCUCUGUGCUUCUCCUCCAGACCGUCCUUCUGCCUGGGCUGUCCCUGCCCGUUGUACCUUCUGCUUCUCCUAGAGCAGCUCUGACCUCAACCCCACAGAGGCUUUCCGUGUACUCAUAUUGCCCUCAGCCCUGCUCCCCCUUCUCAGCGCCUUAUCUGGUACCCCGAGAAUACUGGCAAUCUGGCAGCCCCAUGCAACAGCCCUUAUCACACCUGCAAAGGCUCCUGGGAUGUGAGCAACUUGACGGAAGGGGCUUAUCCCCUGCUGUAGCAUAGUGCACAUUGAAGUGUUCAAUAAAUGGAUAUUGAAUGAAUCAA
Molecule: long non-coding RNA, 763 nt
Organism: Ailuropoda melanoleuca (giant panda)
Lineage: Eukaryota; Metazoa; Chordata; Mammalia; Carnivora; Ursidae
Exons: 2
Source: RefSeq, a predicted model, not a curated record